GAGUUUGAUCAUGGCUCAGAACGAACGCUGGCGGCGCGUCUUAAACAUGCAAGUCGAACGGCAAGAGAAAAGCUUGCUUUUCUCCCAGAGUGGCGGACUGGUGAGUAACACGUGGGUGACAUACCUUUUAGUUGGGGAUAGCUGCUAGAAAUAGUAGGUAAUACCGAAUGUGACCGCGUCCGAUAAACGGAUGCGAGGAAAGGAGCUAAGGCUUCGCUAAGAGAUUGGCCCGCGGCCCAUUAGCUUGUUGGUGAGGUAACGGCCCACCAAGGCAAUGAUGGGUAUCCGGCCUGAGAGGGUGAACGGACACAUUGGGACUGAGAUACGGCCCAGACUUCUACGGGAGGCAGCAGUUAAGAAUAUUCCGCAAUGGACGCAAGUCUGACGGAGCGACGCCGCGUGGAUGAAGAAUGCCGAAAGGUUGUAAAAUCCUUUUAAGCCUGAGGAAUAAGCAGAGGAGGGAAUGCCUUUGCGGUGA
Molecule: ribosomal RNA, 478 nt
Filed under: Treponema sp. canine oral taxon 356
Lineage: Bacteria; Pseudomonadati; Spirochaetota; Spirochaetia; Treponematales; Treponemataceae
Description: bacterial SSU rRNA
Rfam family: Bacterial small subunit ribosomal RNA
Source: RNAcentral